UGUACCGAUUGUUUGCAGGGU
Molecule: non-coding RNA, 21 nt
Filed under: Caenorhabditis elegans
Lineage: Eukaryota; Metazoa; Nematoda; Chromadorea; Rhabditida; Rhabditidae
Source: RNAcentral